Molecule: non-coding RNA, 235 nt
Organism: Paramuricea clavata
Lineage: Eukaryota; Metazoa; Cnidaria; Anthozoa; Malacalcyonacea; Plexauridae
Source: the annotation of a GenBank genome assembly
GGUCCUAAUGUAACCAGUCACCGAAAAACCCUGAUAGAGAGUGGCUGUGCAUAUCUGUAUCUAAGUUAUCUUGCUCGCCCGAUUGAGGAUCGAUGUUAUGUUUUGAUAAAAUUCACAGAUUGGACAAAGCUUUUAUCAUGUCUGAACUCCUAGUUCUUAGAUAACUUAGAUACAGAUACAGUUAUGCACAGCCACUCCCUAUCAGGGUUUUUCGGUGACUGGUUACAUUAGGACC